UCAAAUUAAAAAAAAAUGUGGUUUUGAGAUUCCACUAAACACCAAACCAGAAAUUGAAAUACUUCAGUUUCAGCCACAAACAAUCUAGAAUCUGAAGAAUGCCUCAAAAUUUUCAGCCAAGACUACCUAUAGAGGCAAAAAUUGUCAUAGAUAUGCCCAAUCUAGGCAAACACUUGCUAUUUCUUCUUUAUUGCAGAUAGAAAGAAGCAUUUAGCAAGACUAAACUCAAAUUUUCAUCUUGCGAAGAUUAACAUCUGUGGCAUUAGAUUUCCCCAAAAAAAAACAUUAUAGCAAAAGCAAUGUUUUGACAUAAGCUUGAUAAUCUUGAUGCUCAAUCUGAUGGACAGGCACACAUUAGGCUGCCAUCAAACAGUAAAACAAUGCAUUACAUUUUUAAAUCAUAAAUCAAUUUCAACUUAGCUUUUCAUUUCAAAAGAUCAUCAAAUUAUUUAAGCCUGAAAAAAUUUCUGGAACAACACAUCAAAACAGUCCCAAAUCAAAUUUGGACGAUGUCUAUUUUACUUACUGACCAUUUGCCUUUAUAGUUUCUGCACGUUUUCUACUUUUUACUAAGUUCUGAUUCCGUUUAAAAUUUUUGGAUGGAACAGGUAAAAUUAGAGGCAAUACCACUGAAACCAUUUCAAAAUUGCCAGAUGAAAUUCACUUGUUGAGGAUUUAUGGCUAUAGCAUUGCAUCUCAGAUGCAAAGGGAUGGACAGCCAAGCUCAUCCUAGAAAGGGCCAAUAAAUAAAAAAUGCAUAUAACCAUCCUUAAGAAAUCUAGAAACAGAAAAGCAUAAUAGAAGAAGGUAGCAAGAGAGGACUUGCCCUACCCAUGAAAGUGGGGAAUGCUGUCUUCAGCCCCAAUACAUCCACAAACCGCUCGCGGACCCAUAUGCAGACUUCUAAUGCUUCAUUAUGAUGAUCAUCAGAUCCACUCCCUCCGACUUCAACAACCUCUCUUUGUUCUCUAUCGGCACAAACAGGUUACCGAGCAUCUCCUCGUCGGAGCU
Molecule: long non-coding RNA, 1011 nt
Filed under: Elaeis guineensis (African oil palm)
Lineage: Eukaryota; Viridiplantae; Streptophyta; Magnoliopsida; Arecales; Arecaceae
Description: long non-coding RNA (EGUI_LNC073593)
Source: RNAcentral